UGUUGCUUGCAAGGGCGUAUGGUGGAUGCCUUGGCAGACAGGACCGAUGAAGGACGUUUGAGGCUGCGAUAUGCCUCGGGGAGCCGCCAACAGGGCUUUGAUCCGAGGAUUUCCGAAUGGGGGAACCCACCGACCGUCAUGGGUCGGUACCGGCUUCGGCCGGGGGGUACGCAGGGAAGUGAAACAUCUCAGUACCUGCAGGAAAGGAUAUUCCGUGAGUAGUGGCGAGCGAAAGCGGAUGAUGGCCAAACCUUGCGCGUGUGAUACCCGUCGGGGGUUGCGCGCGGGGUGUUGCGGGAUCGCGUGCGCCGGCUCCGACGGGCCGGCCGGCAGUUGCAGAAAACCAUGUGUCAGGGGAACCGGGUUGAAUACCGGGCCGCAGAGGGUGAGGGCCCCGUACCUGAACGCGCAUGGUCUGCCGAUCGCGUCUCCCAAGUAGCACGGGUCCCGUGGAACCCCGUGCGAAUCCGCCCAGACCGUUGGGUAAGCCUGAAUAUUCCUGUCUGACCGAUAGCGAACGAGUACCGUGAGGGAAAGGUGAAAAGUACCCCGGGAGGGGAGUGAAACAGUCUCUGAAACCGUGCGCCUACAAUCCGUCGGAGCCCUUUUGUGGGGUGACGGCGUGCCUAUCGAAAAAUGAGUCUGCGAGUCAGUGGCAUGUGGCGAGCAUAACCCGUGUGGGGUAUGCGUAGCGAAGGCGAGUCUUAAAAGGCGUUUGAGUCGCGUGUCCUGGACCCGAAGCGGGAUGAUCUAGCCCUGAGCAGGUUGAAGCGCGGGUAAGACCGCGUGGAGGACCGAACCCACCUGGGUUGAAAACCGGGGGGAUGACUUGGGGCUAGGGGUGAAAGGCCAAUCAAAUUCCGUGAUAGCUGGUUCUCUCCGAAAUGCAUUUGGGUGCAGCGUCGGGUCAUUACGUCCCGGGGGUAGAGCUACUGGAUGCUUGCGGGCCCGUAUCGGGUACCAACAGCAACCAAACUCCGAAUACCGGUGACGCGUAUCCCGGCAGUGAGUCGGCGGGGGAUAAGCUUCGUCGUCGAAAGGGAAACAGCCCAGACCGUCGUCUAAGGUCCCGAAGCGUGUGCUAAGUGGGAAAGGAUGUGGAGUCGCAUAGACAGCCAGGAGGUUGGCUCAGAAGCAGCCACCCUUGAAAGAGUGCGUAACAGCUCACUGGUCUAGUGGUUCCGCGCCGACAAUGUAGCGGGGCUCAAGCACACCACCGAAGACGCGGCAGUAUUUUGUACUGGGUAGGAGAGCGUCCCAUGAGGGGCGAAGCGGCCGUGUGAACGCGCCGUGGACUUCAUGGGAGUGAGAAUGCAGACAUGAGUAGCGAGAGACGGGUGAAGAUCCCGUCCGCUGGAUGACCAAGGGUUCCAGGGCCACGUUCAUCGUCCCUGGGUGAGUCGGGUCCUAAGGCGAGGCCGACAGGCGUAGUCGAAUGGAUGAACGGGUCGAUAUUCCCGUACCGGCUUUCAGCCGCCAAAACCGAGGCUUGGAGUACUAACCUCCGGGUCCGGGCUUACUGCUCCUUCGGGGGCGGGAUGCCCUGGCCUGUUGGGACCGAUCCUUGUAGUAGGUCAGCGCAGGAGUGACGCAGAAGGGUAGCCGGCCGCGGAGGUGGUCUUCCGUGGUCAAGCACGCAGGGCGUGGGACAGGCAAAUCCGUCCCGCAUGGGUCCGAGGUGCGAUGAUGGGGGCCUUAUGGCCCGAUAUCCGGUGAUCCCGGCUGCCGAG
Molecule: ribosomal RNA, 1730 nt
Filed under: Campylobacter coli
Lineage: Bacteria; Pseudomonadati; Campylobacterota; Epsilonproteobacteria; Campylobacterales; Campylobacteraceae
Description: partial 23S ribosomal RNA
Rfam family: Bacterial large subunit ribosomal RNA
Source: RNAcentral